GACGAACGCUGGCGGCGUGCUUAAAACAUGCAAGUCGAACGGACUUCUCAUGAAGCUUGCGAUUGAGAAGUUAGUGGCGGACGGGUGAGUAACGCGUGGGCAACCUGCCCCUGAGCCCGGGAUAACAGUUCGAAAGGACUGCUAAGACCGGAUAUACUUGCGGUGAAGCAUUUCACUGCAAGGAAAGGGAACGCUCAGGGAUGGGCCCGCGUCCCAUUAGCUAGUUGGUGAGGUAACGGCCCACCAAGGCGACGAUGGGUAGCCGGCCUGAGAGGGUGAACGGCCACACUGGGACUGAGACACGGCCCAGACUCCUACGGGAGGCAGCAGUUGGGAAUCUUCGGCAAUGCGCGCAAGCCUGACCGAGCAACGCCGCGUGAGUGAUGAAGGUUUUCGGAUUGUAAAGCUCUGUCUUCCGGGACGAUAAUGACGGUACCGGAGGAGGAAGCCACGGCUAACUACGUG
RNAcentral lists this ribosomal RNA (465 nucleotides) under uncultured bacterium. Its description in RNAcentral is "bacterial SSU rRNA". It matches the Rfam family "Bacterial small subunit ribosomal RNA", at positions 28 to 507 of the family's 1533-position model. The record is from RNAcentral.